CUCCGACUCGAACCCUUCACAGAAGAUCAGGGUCGGCCAGCGGUGCGGCCUGUGAGGGCCUCCCGCUCGUCAGCUUCCUUGCGCAUCCCAGGUUUAAGGGCGACGAUCAGUAGCUGGUCUGAGAGGAUGAUCAGCCACAUUGGGACUGAGACACGGCCCAAACUCCUACGGGAGGCAGCAGUGGGGAAUAUUGGACAAUGGGGGCAACCCUGAUCCAGCCAUGCCGCGUGAGUGAUGAAGGCCCUAGGGUUGUAAAGCUCUUUUGUGCGGGAAGAUAAUAACG
This 283-nucleotide ribosomal RNA is filed under the name Microvirga sp. 3-52. RNAcentral's name for it is "partial 16S ribosomal RNA". It matches the Rfam family "Bacterial small subunit ribosomal RNA", at positions 168 to 456 of the family's 1533-position model. Lineage: Bacteria; Pseudomonadati; Pseudomonadota; Alphaproteobacteria; Hyphomicrobiales; Methylobacteriaceae. The record is from RNAcentral.